Molecule: transfer RNA, 75 nt
Filed under: Oscillospiraceae bacterium
Lineage: Bacteria; Bacillati; Bacillota; Clostridia; Eubacteriales; Oscillospiraceae
Description: tRNA-Met
Rfam family: tRNA
About the family: Transfer RNA (tRNA) molecules are approximately 80 nucleotides in length. Their secondary structure includes four short double-helical elements and three loops (D, anti-codon, and T loops).
Source: RNAcentral
CGCGGAGUAGAGCAGAGGUAGCUCGUCGGGCUCAUAACCCGGAGGUCGCAGGUUCGAUCCCUGUCUCCGCAACCA